GCCUGGGUGGCUCAGUCGGUUAAGCGUCUGGCUUUGGUUCAGGUCAUGAUCUCACAGCUGGUGAGUUCAAGCCCCGCCUCGGGCU
Molecule: transfer RNA, 85 nt
Filed under: Felis catus (domestic cat)
Lineage: Eukaryota; Metazoa; Chordata; Mammalia; Carnivora; Felidae
Rfam family: tRNA
About the family: Transfer RNA (tRNA) molecules are approximately 80 nucleotides in length. Their secondary structure includes four short double-helical elements and three loops (D, anti-codon, and T loops).
Source: Rfam by way of RNAcentral